GAUGAAGAACGCAGCGAAAUGCGAUAAGUAAUGUGAAUUGCAGAAUUCAGUGAAUCAUCGAAUCUUUGAACGCACAUUGCGCCCGCCAGUAUUCUGGCGGGCAUGCCUGUUCGAGCGUCAUUACAACCCUCAGGCCCCCGGGCCUGGCGUUGGGGAUCGGCGGGGCCCCCCGUGGGCACACGCCGUCCCCCAAAUACAGUGGCGGUCCCGCCGCAGCUUCCAUCGCGUAGUAGCUAACACCUCGCGACUGGAGAGCGGCGCGGCCACGCCGUAAAACACCCAACUCUUCUGAAGUUGACCUCGAAUCAGGUAGGAAUACCCGCUGAACUUAAGCAUAUCAAUAAGCGGAGGA
This 352-nucleotide unclassified non-coding RNA is filed under the name soil metagenome. RNAcentral describes it as "partial contains 5.8S ribosomal RNA, internal transcribed spacer 2, and large subunit ribosomal RNA". The stretch from base 1 to 120 matches the Rfam family "5.8S ribosomal RNA", at positions 35 to 154 of the family's 154-position model. The record is from RNAcentral.